CGCCUCGUCGGAUGGCACCGCCGGGGUUACGGGCUGCUCUGAGGCCGUGGCGUGUGGAGGCGGGGAGGGAGGGUGCUGC
RNAcentral lists this microRNA precursor (79 nucleotides) under Vicugna pacos (alpaca). RNAcentral describes it as "miRNA (ENSVPAG00000016092.1)". The record is from RNAcentral. Lineage: Eukaryota; Metazoa; Chordata; Mammalia; Artiodactyla; Camelidae.